RNAcentral lists this ribosomal RNA (480 nucleotides) under uncultured bacterium. RNAcentral describes it as "partial 16S ribosomal RNA". It matches the Rfam family "Bacterial small subunit ribosomal RNA", at positions 32 to 523 of the family's 1533-position model. The record is from RNAcentral.
AAUCAACGCUGGCGGCGUGCCUCAGACACGCAAGUCGAACGAUUAAAGCCCCUUCGGGGGUGUAUAGAGUGGCGCACGGGUGAGUAACACGUAGGUAAUGUACCGUAGGGUGGGGAAUAACAAUCGGAAGCGAUUGCUAAUACCGCAUAAUGCAGCGGCAUCAAUGAUGACAGUUGUUAAAGGAGCAAUCCGCCUUAUGAGCAGCCUGCGGCAGAUUAGCUAGUUGGUAAGGUAAUGGCUUACCAAGGCUACGAUCUGUAACCGACCUGAGAGGGUGGUCGGUCACACUGACACUGAAUAACGGGUCAGACUCCUACGGGAGGCAGCAGUCGGGAAUUUUGGGCAAUGGGCGAAAGCCUGACCCAGCAACGCCGCGUGAAGGAUGAAGUCUUUCGGGAUGUAAACUUCGUAAGAAUGGGAAGAAUAAAUGACGGUACCAUUUGUAAGGUCCGGCUAACUACGUGCCAGCAGCCGCCGUAA